This is a non-coding RNA of Gossypium hirsutum (cotton), 107 nucleotides long. NCBI's taxonomy places the organism in Eukaryota, Viridiplantae, Streptophyta, Magnoliopsida, Malvales, Malvaceae. The record is from Rfam.
AUUUCGUGAUGAGGGCAUCUUCGUAAUAGUUCUUUAAACCUUUACCAUGCCUCAUAUAAGGACUUUUCAUCCAAUUAUUGGAACAUAGUAAUCUCGUUCCUCAACUU